AUUCUUACCUGACAGGGGAGAUGCCAUGAUCAUGAAGGUGGUUUGCCCAGGAUGAGGAUUGUCCACUGCACUCAGCAGAUAUGCUGACCCCUGAGAUUUCUGCAAAUGUGGGAAAUCUGAUUGCAUAAUUUGUGGUGGUGGGAGACUGUGUUUGUGCUCGACCCUG
RNAcentral lists this small nuclear RNA (166 nucleotides) under Dasypus novemcinctus (nine-banded armadillo). RNAcentral describes it as "U1 spliceosomal RNA (ENSDNOG00000035022.1)". It matches the Rfam family "U1 spliceosomal RNA". From Rfam's summary of the family: U1 is a small nuclear RNA (snRNA) component of the spliceosome (involved in pre-mRNA splicing). The record is from RNAcentral. Lineage: Eukaryota; Metazoa; Chordata; Mammalia; Cingulata; Dasypodidae.